UACGUAGGGUGCAAGCGUUAAUCGGAAUUACUGGGCGUAAAGCGUGCGCAGGCGGUUCUGUAAGUCUGUCGUGAAAUCCCCGGGCUCAACCUGGGAAUGGCGAUGGAGACUGCAAGGCUAGAAUCUGGCAGAGGGGGGUAGAAUUCCACGUGUAGCAGUGAAAUGCGUAGAUAUGUGGAGGAACACCGAUGGCGAAGGCAGCCCCCUGGGCUAAGAUUGACGCUCAUGCACGAAAGCGUGGGGAGCAAACAGG
RNAcentral lists this ribosomal RNA (253 nucleotides) under uncultured bacterium. RNAcentral's name for it is "partial 16S ribosomal RNA". It matches the Rfam family "Bacterial small subunit ribosomal RNA", at positions 524 to 776 of the family's 1533-position model. The record is from RNAcentral.